This 1402-nucleotide ribosomal RNA is filed under the name Microbacterium sp. 142. Its description in RNAcentral is "bacterial SSU rRNA". It matches the Rfam family "Bacterial small subunit ribosomal RNA". The record is from RNAcentral. Lineage: Bacteria; Bacillati; Actinomycetota; Actinomycetes; Micrococcales; Microbacteriaceae.
ACACAUGCAAGUCGAACGAUGAAGCCCGGGCUUGCCUGGGUGGAAGAGUGGCGAACGGGUGAGUAACACGUGAGCAACCUGCCCCUGACUCUGGGAUAAGCGCUGGAAACGGCGUCUAAUACUGGAUAUGAGUAGCGAAGGCAUCUUCGGCUACUGGAAAGAUUUUUCGGUCUGGGAUGGGCUCGCGGCCUAUCAGCUUGUUGGUGAGGUAAUGGCUCACCAAGGCGUCGACGGGUAGCCGGCCUGAGAGGGUGACCGGCCACACUGGGACUGAGACACGGCCCAGACUCCUACGGGAGGCAGCAGUGGGGAAUAUUGCACAAUGGGCGGAAGCCUGAUGCAGCAACGCCGCGUGAGGGAUGACGGCCUUCGGGUUGUAAACCUCUUUUAGCAGGGAAGAAGCGAAAGUGACGGUACCUGCAGAAAAAGCGCCGGCUAACUACGUGCCAGCAGCCGCGGUAAUACGUAGGGCGCAAGCGUUAUCCGGAAUUAUUGGGCGUAAAGAGCUCGUAGGCGGUUUGUCGCGUCUGCUGUGAAAUCCCGAGGCUCAACCUCGGGCCUGCAGUGGGUACGGGCAGACUAGAGUGCGGUAGGGGAGAUUGGAAUUCCUGGUGUAGCGGUGGAAUGCGCAGAUAUCAGGAGGAACACCGAUGGCGAAGGCAGAUCUCUGGGCCGUAACUGACGCUGAGGAGCGAAAGGGUGGGGAGCAAACAGGCUUAGAUACCCUGGUAGUCCACCCCGUAAACGUUGGGAACUAGUUGUGGGGUCCAUUCCACGGAUUCCGUGACGCAGCUAACGCAUUAAGUUCCCCGCCUGGGGAGUACGGCCGCAAGGCUAAAACUCAAAGGAAUUGACGGGGACCCGCACAAGCGGCGGAGCAUGCGGAUUAAUUCGAUGCAACGCGAAGAACCUUACCAAGGCUUGACAUAUACGAGAACGGGCCAGAAAUGGUCAACUCUUUGGACACUCGUAAACAGGUGGUGCAUGGUUGUCGUCAGCUCGUGUCGUGAGAUGUUGGGUUAAGUCCCGCAACGAGCGCAACCCUCGUUCUAUGUUGCCAGCACGUAAUGGUGGGAACUCAUGGGAUACUGCCGGGGUCAACUCGGAGGAAGGUGGGGAUGACGUCAAAUCAUCAUGCCCCUUAUGUCUUGGGCUUCACGCAUGCUACAAUGGCCGGUACAAAGGGCUGCAAUACCGCGAGGUGGAGCGAAUCCCAAAAAGCCGGUCCCAGUUCGGAUUGAGGUCUGCAACUCGACCUCAUGAAGUCGGAGUCGCUAGUAAUCGCAGAUCAGCAACGCUGCGGUGAAUACGUUCCCGGGUCUUGUACACACCGCCCGUCAAGUCAUGAAAGUCGGUAACACCUGAAGCCGGUGGCCUAACCCUUGUGGAGGGAGCCGUCGAA